AGCCUGUCACCCUCAGCAGAGCUCUGGGGUGUCUGCACCAUGGCCUGGGCCCCGCUCCUCCUCCUCACCCUCCUCCUGCACUGCACAGGGUCCCUGUCCCAGCCUGUGCUGACUCAGCCGCCCUCUGCAUCUGCCUCCCCGGGAGCCUCGGCCAAGCUCACCUGCACCCUGAGCAGUGCGCACAGCAGCUACACCAUUGCGUGGCAUCAGCAGCAGCCAGGGAAGGCCCCUCGGUACUUGAUGUGGGUUAACAGUGCUGGAAGCCACAGCAAGGGGGACGGGAUCCCCGAUCGCUUCUCUGGCUCCAGCUCCGGGGCUGACCGCUACUUGACCAUCUCCAACAUCCAGCCUGAGGACGAGGCUGACUAUUACUGUCAGACCUGGGACAGUGGUAUUAAUCACAGUGACACAGACAGAUGA
Propithecus coquereli (Coquerel's sifaka) is the source of this 420-nucleotide non-coding RNA. The record is from the annotation of a RefSeq genome assembly. NCBI's taxonomy places the organism in Eukaryota, Metazoa, Chordata, Mammalia, Primates, Indriidae.